CAUAUAGAGUGAGAGUUGCGACAACUCCAUUGACUCCAAUGGAACGCUUUUUUUUUACAGCAAUGGCGGCUCGUGGAGCCUCUCAAUAGUUCCCGGAAGUAGCAGCAAACCUAUACCGCGCCGUAGAGAUGCAGCAGAACAAACCGUUUGCGACGCACUUUUAACAGACCCAGGUAACUGGCUGAUGGUUCACAGGAAUGCUGACUGGCUGCUGGUUGACUGGGCUGUGUCACCUGUCCCUGUCUCUCCUCUCUAGCCAUGUCCUUUUUCUUCACUCUCACUUUCCCUUCUCUGAGUGUCCUCGUUCUUUUUUCCUCAACCUUUGAAACUGAUAGAGGUAGAAUACAUGGUUUUGCUAAUUUUAAAUAUUGAAAAUAUCACAUCACUUUACUUCAACUAGUACGAGUUUGUACUUAUUAUAUAUGAAUCACCUGAAAUAACAUAGCUGUAAUCAGUAGCCAUUUCUUGUAUGUUCACAGGUCUAGGGGUGCAUCGUGGAGCAGGGCCCUCCUCUUUUUGACCACAGGACGAUGUACAAAGAUUGUGGGAAUAGCAUCUGGUCUCAGCCUACUCUUGAAUUUUUUGGUCAUGACAAAUUGCUUUGCCGCAAUUUGUCUGCAUACUGACUUCAGUUUAGUUUCCACACACACCUUUUUUUUGUCUACCCACUUACAGUACAUAUCACAUGGUGGUUAAAUGCACAGUUAUAGGUAACACUGAUGACUCCCUGCAAUGUCUCACCAUGAGUCUCAGCUCCCUGGGUUUUGCAAGGCUUUGCUUGUUCCUUAUUUCUAGUAAAACAUUGUCAAUGUAAAAAAGUGCAAAUAAAUGUAAGUAUAAUUACCUAACAA
This is a long non-coding RNA of Carassius gibelio (silver crucian carp), 851 nucleotides long. RefSeq lists it as uncharacterized. The record is from RefSeq and is a predicted model, not a curated record. The transcript has 2 exons. Lineage: Eukaryota; Metazoa; Chordata; Actinopteri; Cypriniformes; Cyprinidae.